CUACGGGACGCAGCAGUUAGGAAUAAUCUACAAUGCGCGAGAGCGUGAUAGUUUGAGCCAGAGUGCUUUCCAAAUUGGAAAGCUUUUGCCAAAUCUAAAAAGUUUGGCGAAUAAGGACUGGGUAAGACUAGUGCCAGCCGCCGCGGUAAUACUAGCGUGUCCAAGUCGCAGCCAUUAUUAUUGGGUCUAAAACAUCCGUAGCUUGCUUUGUAAGUCCUCUGUGAAAUUCGGCGUCUUAAGCGUCGAGCGAGCAAAAGAUACUGCAAAGCUAGAGACUGGAAGACGUAAGAAGUACGUUUAAAGUAGUGGUAAAAUACUUUAAUCUUAAGCGGACCCACAAUAGCGAAGGCAUCUUACGAGGACAGUUCUGACAGUAAGGGAUGAAGGCCAGGGGCGCAAAACGGAUUAGAUACCCUCGUAGUC
This 423-nucleotide ribosomal RNA is filed under the name uncultured archaeon. RNAcentral's name for it is "partial 16S ribosomal RNA". It matches the Rfam family "Archaeal small subunit ribosomal RNA", at positions 323 to 746 of the family's 1478-position model. The record is from RNAcentral.